UACGGAGGGUGCAAGCGUUGUCCGGAAUCACUGGGCGUAAAGGGCGCGUAGGCGGCUCAUGAAGGCUGUGGUGAAAGUCCGGGGCUCAACCUCGGAUCGGCCGUGGCGACUCGUGGGCUGGAGCACUGUAGAGGCGGGUGGAAUUCCGGGUGUAGCGGUGGAAUGCGUAGAGAUCCGGAAGAACACCAGUGGCGAAGGCGGCCCGCUGGGCAGUGGCUGACGCUGAGGCGCGACAGCGUGGGG
This 243-nucleotide ribosomal RNA is filed under the name uncultured bacterium. RNAcentral describes it as "partial 16S ribosomal RNA". It matches the Rfam family "Bacterial small subunit ribosomal RNA", at positions 524 to 766 of the family's 1533-position model. The record is from RNAcentral.